This 534-nucleotide long non-coding RNA is filed under the name Phoenix dactylifera (date palm). RNAcentral's name for it is "long non-coding RNA (PDAC_LNC022134)". Lineage: Eukaryota; Viridiplantae; Streptophyta; Magnoliopsida; Arecales; Arecaceae. The record is from RNAcentral.
UUCUAAGUGGAUUUGGUACCUCGAGGCUCAUUAUCUCUCUUUUGGGGCUCCUAAUGGAGUAAUCUCCAGAAUCUAUUCAAGGGAUAUUCGGAGAUUAGCUGAAUCCUACUCAAGAACAAAUUGACAGAUUUUCCCUCUAAAACAAAAAAUUCAGUUCAAAAACUUCAAAGCAUUAAAAGGAAAUUCAGAGAAUCAAAACAUAGUAGAAUGCAUAUGUUGAGGGAGAGAAUCUGAAUAUUAAUCAAGCUAAAUCAUUAAAGAUAUAUAAGCCAAACAAUUGAUUGUAUAAUAUGAAGGCUUAUAUAAUUCCAAAUGAAAGGAGGAGCUUUAACUCCGAAAUUUAUUGUUUUACUCCUUUCAAGCUUGGAUAAAUUGAAUUACCAGACAUUUGAAUUCAAUUAUGGAUUUUAUUUCAUUGUUUAUUGAGCAAUUCACUUUACAUAUACUCAAUGUUUUGUCAUCAUCAAAAAGGGGGAGAUUGUGGAGUGAUUGAUUAAAACCCUAUUUGAUUUUGAUGAGCUCAAAGCAUUUGAG